RNAcentral lists this ribosomal RNA (254 nucleotides) under uncultured bacterium. RNAcentral describes it as "partial 16S ribosomal RNA". It matches the Rfam family "Bacterial small subunit ribosomal RNA", at positions 524 to 777 of the family's 1533-position model. The record is from RNAcentral.
UACGGAGGGGGCUAGCGUUGUUCGGAAUUACUGGGCGUAAAGCGCACGUAGUCGGCUUUGUAAGUUAGAGGUGAAAGCCCAGGGCUCAACCCUGGAAUUGCCUUUAAGACUGCAUCGCUAGAAUUGUGGAGAGGUAAGUGGAAUUCCGAGUGUAGAGGUGAAAUUCGUAGAUAUUCGGAAGAACACCAGUGGCGAAGGCGGCUCACUGGACUGGUAUUGACGCUGAGGUGCGAAAGCGUGGGGAGCAAACAGGG